RNAcentral lists this ribosomal RNA (444 nucleotides) under Pagrus pagrus (common seabream). RNAcentral describes it as "partial 12S ribosomal RNA". It matches the Rfam family "Bacterial small subunit ribosomal RNA", at positions 7 to 794 of the family's 1533-position model. The record is from RNAcentral. Lineage: Eukaryota; Metazoa; Chordata; Actinopteri; Spariformes; Sparidae.
ACAAAGGUUUGGUCCUGACUUUUCUGCCAGCUCUAGCUAAACUUACACAUGCAAGUAUCCGCGCCCCCGUGAGAAUGCCCUAUAGUUCCCUGCCCGGGAACAAGGAGCUGGUAUCAGGCACAUUUAACAUGCCCACGACACCUUGCUCAGCCACACCCCCAAGGGUACUCAGCAGUGAUAAACAUUGACACAUAAGUGAAAACUUGACUCAGUUAAAGCUAAGAGGGCCGGUAAAACUCGUGCCAGCCACCGCGGUUAUACGGGAGGCCCAAGUUGUUAGAAAUCGGCGUAAAGGGUGGUUAAGAACAAGCUUAAAAUUAAAGCCGAACGCCUUCUAGGCUGUUAUACGCAUCCGAAGGUAAGAAGCCCAAUCACGAAAGUAGCUUUAUAUUUUCUGACCCCACGAAAGCUAAGAUACAAACUAGGAUUAGAUACCCUAUUAUA